CGCACCCGUGUGGGAGAGACCGCCCGGAAACCACCCGGUGCGGCGCCGAAGGGGCAAAUCCUCCCCGGAACCUCUCAGGCAAAAGGACCUCACGGGUAGG
This 100-nucleotide non-coding RNA is filed under the name Salinispora tropica. RNAcentral describes it as "Glycine sequence". It matches the Rfam family "Glycine riboswitch aptamer". From Rfam's summary of the family: This family represents the bacterial glycine riboswitch. Glycine riboswitches usually consist of two metabolite-binding aptamers domains with similar structures in tandem. The aptamers cooperatively bind glycine to regulate the expression of downstream genes. Lineage: Bacteria; Bacillati; Actinomycetota; Actinomycetes; Micromonosporales; Micromonosporaceae. The record is from RNAcentral. RNAcentral also lists the same sequence under 1 other name.